CAAACUGGGAUUAGAUACCCCACUAUGCUUGGCCCUAAACUUAGAUAUUUUAAAUACAAAAAAUAUUCGCCAGAGAAUUACGAGCUAAACAUGCUUAAAACUCUAAGGACUUGGCGGUACCUCAAACCCACCUAGAGGAGCCUGUUCUAUAAUCGAUAACCCACGAUUCACCUCACCAUCUCUUGCCAACUCCGCCUAUAUACCGCCGUCAAGCUUACCUUAUGAAAGAUAAAAAGUAAGCAAAACAAUCUAAACAAUUAAUAAAUCAGGUCAAGGUGUAGCUUACUGAGAUGGAAGAAAUGGGCUACAUUUUCUAUACUAGAAAUAAUUUACGGAAAGAUACCUUGAAAUAGGUUCUACAAGAAGGAUUUAGCAGUAAACUGGGAAAAGAGAGCCCAAUUUAAGCCGGUCCUGAGGUACGCACACACCGCCCGUCACCCUCUGCAGUCAA
This 451-nucleotide ribosomal RNA is filed under the name Kinosternon cora (Cora mud turtle). Its description in RNAcentral is "partial small subunit ribosomal RNA". It matches the Rfam family "Bacterial small subunit ribosomal RNA", at positions 768 to 1414 of the family's 1533-position model. Lineage: Eukaryota; Metazoa; Chordata; Testudines; Kinosternidae. The record is from RNAcentral.